CACACUGGCCGGCCCAGCCAGAGAUUAUAUAAUAGGUCCAGCUAUGCGUGCUUACUAUCAGUAAGGCAUUGCCCUUUCUGAUAGUUCUGACGUUCAGUUGGAAAUCUCUGUUGGGAUCAGAAGAAAUCUCAACUGGGAAGAGAAGGGGACGCUAUGAUGGAAGACGUUGGACAGAAUCCACUGGAUGAUGUGUAGCAGACGAUAUAAUUACCAGCAUUAGAAGCUGUAAAACAGAACCUUGACUGCCUGAAUUCAGACCUUGAAAAGGACCUGCAGAAACUGGAUAUGGAGAAUCAGGUUCUCCUUAGAAAGAUUAAAGAGAAAGAAGAAACUAUUUCAAGGAGAAAAGUAACGCAAUCCUAAGCAGGAAUGUGGUGGAGGUUCAGAAAAAGAUUUCAGGGUUAUUUACAAAUAUUGGCCUUGAAGAAGAAACCACAAAGCAGAUCCUGGAGGAAAUGAAGGCAAGACUACAGAAGUCAACAGAGUCCUGUGCAAAGCAAGAGGAGGAACUGGCCAAGGCAGAGGCAAUGUCUCUUCCACUGAGGGUCUGCCCGGGAUAGAAUGGGAGAGAAUCCCAAGGGUCUUAGAAACAGAUCUGCUUGAGGCAUAGGAGGGGGAGGUACAAAAACAUCUUGCAAAUGAAUUUCUGAUUCUUAUGCAUUCUUAUGCAGCUGAAGGGAAAGAAAACUUCUAUUAAAAAUACUGCUUUUACCAUUUCUUACAUCUCUGUGUCAAAUACCAUUGUUGAAUUCCAAACCAAAGUGCCUUGACACGUCCCCUGGUAUUUCACAUGAGAGGCAGAUGACAACUUGGGCAAAAUAUUUCCUUUGCUUAAAACCAGACCCUGUGCCUAAUGAUGAGAUCACCUCUUUGUGAUGUGACUGUUUUUCCUUCAAGUCAGGAGUUGCUAGGUAACCAGCCAAGUGCCAGUGCACCAGAAAUACCAGGAAGUUCUGAGGAAGAUGAAAGAGGAAAAGGAGACGCUGCUUCUUGAAAAACAAAUCUUUUCACACAGUUUGGAAAUUUGAAUGUCCUCUUUUGUGACAUGUCUUUCGCCUGCAUCUGUGAGAUGAUCCAAAGCCCAGGAUGACUCCUCUCAAACAGUGAAACCGGGAUCAAUUUUGGCAGACACCACCCAAAGAAACAUGGAGAGGACCACCAUUAAGAAACAGGAGAGAAGGUGUUGGUACAAUCUUUAUUAGGUUGCUGGCUUAUGUGAUUUUCCACCUGCAGUACAUAAACCCAGAUCUUCUCGUGGAUGUCCUGCCCCUGGUGCUGAGCAGGGGCACCUUGGAGAGUCUGAGGAAGGUCUCACAUCCCUUCCUCACUCUAGCAGUGGAAGAAGCACUACCACACUAGUCUGGGGUGACCUGGGGGCAUCACCCCACACCUGAGUGGAGGUGACCGUGGCUGUGGCCCCAUGUUGGGGAUGGCCAGGAAGGAUGUGGAAGCCUUUGACUCAGAGCCGCUACUUGACAUCUGAGUUUUUCAUUUCAUUCUUUCCCUGCUUUCCCUCUGGAAUGUCUCUCUUUCAAAUAAAGAAUAUGUUUGACGAGA
RNAcentral lists this long non-coding RNA (1557 nucleotides) under Homo sapiens (human). RNAcentral's name for it is "HSALNT0380506". The record is from RNAcentral. Lineage: Eukaryota; Metazoa; Chordata; Mammalia; Primates; Hominidae.